RNAcentral lists this ribosomal RNA (794 nucleotides) under uncultured archaeon. RNAcentral describes it as "bacterial SSU rRNA". It matches the Rfam family "Archaeal small subunit ribosomal RNA", at positions 1 to 800 of the family's 1478-position model. The record is from RNAcentral.
UUUUCCGGUUGAUCCUGCCGGACCCGACUGCUAUCAGAGUGGGACUAAGCCAUGCGAGUCGACAUAGCAAUAUGUGGCAUACGGCUCAGUAACACGUAGUCAACAUGCCCAGGGGACGUGGAUAACCUCGGGAAACUGAGGAUAAACCGCGAUAGGUCAUCACUUCUGGAAUGGGUAAUGACUUAAAUCUAUAUGGCCCCUGGAUUGGACUGCGGCCGAUCAGGCUGUUGGUGAGGUAAUGGCCCACCAAACCUGUAACCGGUACGGGCUCUGAGAGGAGGAGCCCGGAGAUGGGCACUGAGACAAGGGCCCAGGCCCUAUGGGGCGCAGCAGGCGCGAAACCUCUGCAAUAGGCGAAAGCUUGACAGGGUUACUCUGAGUGAUUUCCCGUUAAGGAGAUCUUUUGGCACCUCUAAAAAUGGUGCAGAAUAAGGGGUUGGGCAAGUCUGGUGUCAGCCGCCGCGGUAAUACCAGCACCCCGAGUGGUCGGGACGUUUAUUGGGCCUAAAGCAUCCGUAGCCGGUUCUACAAGUCUUCCGUUAAAUCCACCUGCUUAACAGAUGGGCUGCGGAAGAUACUAUAGAGCUAGGAGGCGGGAGAGGCAAGCGGUACUCGAUGGGUAGGGGUAAGAUCCGUUGAUCCAUUGAAGACCACCAGUGGCGAAGGCGGCUUGCCAGAACGCGCUCGACGGUGAGGGAUGAAAGCUGGGGGAGCAAACCGGAUUAGAUACCCGGGUAGUCCCAGCUGUAAACGAUGCAGACUCGGUGAUGAAUUGGCUUAUUGCUAAUUCAGUG